RNAcentral lists this ribosomal RNA (291 nucleotides) under Escherichia coli. Its description in RNAcentral is "partial 23S ribosomal RNA". It matches the Rfam family "Bacterial large subunit ribosomal RNA", at positions 2652 to 2925 of the family's 2925-position model. Lineage: Bacteria; Pseudomonadati; Pseudomonadota; Gammaproteobacteria; Enterobacterales; Enterobacteriaceae. The record is from RNAcentral.
CGCUGGAGAACUGAGGGGGGCUGCUCCUAGUACGAGAGGACCGGAGUGGACGCAUCACUGGUGUUCGGGUUGUCAUGCCAAUGGCACUGCCCGGUAGCUAAAUGCGGAAGAGAUAAGUGCUGAAAGCAUCUAAGCACGAAACUUGCCCCGAGAUGAGUUCUCCCUGACCCUUUAAGGGUCCUGAAGGAACGUUGAAGACGACGACGUUGAUAGGCCGGGUGUGUAAGCGCAGCGAUGCGUUGAGCUAACCGGUACUAAUGAACCGUGAGGCUUAACCUUACAACGCCGAAG